RNAcentral lists this ribosomal RNA (119 nucleotides) under Salmo salar (Atlantic salmon). Lineage: Eukaryota; Metazoa; Chordata; Actinopteri; Salmoniformes; Salmonidae. The record is from RNAcentral.
GCUUACGGCCAUAUCAGCCUGGGUACGCCCGAUCUCGUCUGAUCUCGGAAGCUAAGCAGGGUCGGGCCUGGUUAGUACUUGGAUGGGAGAGCGCCUGGGAAUACCAGGUGCUGUAAGAA